GAUGAACGCUGACAGAAUGCUUAACACAUGCAAGUCUUUGGCGAAGCUGUGCUUGCACAGCCUAGCCAAGGCGGACGGGUGAGUAACGCGUAAGGGACUUGCCCUGCAGUCAGGGAUAACAGACGGAAACGACUGAUAAGACCUGGUAAAGUCAGGCGGACUCAUGUCCAGCCUGAUGAAAAGGAAUGCUGCAGGAGAGCCUUGCGUCCUAUUAGCUUGUUGGUGGGGUAACGGCCCACCAAGGCGAUGAUAGGUAGCCGGCCUGAGAGGGUGGACGGCCACAAGGGGACUGAGAUACGGCCCUUACUCCUACGGGAGGCAGCAGUGGGGAAUAUUGGACAAUGGGGGCAACCCUGAUCCAGCAAUUCUGUGUGCACGAUGAAGGUCUUCGGAUUGUAAAGUGCUUUCAGCAGGGAAGAAAAAAAUGACGGUACCUGCAGAAGAAGCGACGGC
RNAcentral lists this ribosomal RNA (453 nucleotides) under Leptotrichia wadei. Its description in RNAcentral is "bacterial SSU rRNA". It matches the Rfam family "Bacterial small subunit ribosomal RNA", at positions 28 to 497 of the family's 1533-position model. The record is from RNAcentral. Lineage: Bacteria; Fusobacteriati; Fusobacteriota; Fusobacteriia; Fusobacteriales; Leptotrichiaceae.